Long non-coding RNA from Cyanistes caeruleus (blue tit), 800 nucleotides. RefSeq lists it as uncharacterized. Lineage: Eukaryota; Metazoa; Chordata; Aves; Passeriformes; Paridae. The record is from RefSeq and is a predicted model, not a curated record.
CACAGGAAAGGGCACAAAUGGGUGCAUGAACUGGCCUGGAUGCACCUUCUUGCUCCCAGCCAUCCCUUUCCAAAGAAAAGCGAAUUUUCAGUUGUGUUCAAACCCUUUAUCUGGAAAUCCUGAAACACAGCAAUUUCUACUUGUAUGGGUUCUCCAAAAUUACACAAGAUGAAUUCCACCAACAUUGAGCUUCUGCAAAAGAGCUGUAGGCGGUUGCCACAACCCUCCUGCUGCUUGGUCUCCCAGGAAUCCCCAGUGGCACUUUUCCUUUGCUGAAAGGUGAUUUUCAGGCCAUAGAAGACUCUUCUACUGCCACGUGGGACAUGGGAGCCCUGGGAGGAGUGACAUGGGCAUAAGGAGCCAAGGCUGCUGGGAAGGGCUGAGUGCUUCAAAAGCCUGAGGGCAUCAGCCUUUCAGCACCAGAGGCAAUUAAGGGACCUGUCUGUGGACAACUUGGCCUUCACCUGCACCCAAUCCAUGCUCACCCAGGGAAGGCAAUGACCCGGGGCAGGCUCCGCUGCAGCAGCAGAGUGCAGCAAUUGUUAAUGAUGAAAUGCAAAAGGCGUUUCCCCGCUAUGCCCUUUCUCCCGCGCCAAGUUUUCCCUUGUUAAUUAGGAGGAAAAUUUCACAACUUCAGCACCAUAUAAUUAAAUCUCGCAAUUAACAUGUGCACUUAAGCCAUCAUUUUGAAAAUGAGACUUAUGCAGGGAAAUCUACUUAAGGGAGAGCACCAGGAUGGAGAGUGAAACUGUGACACUGUGCUAAUGAUCCAGAACACCAGUGGUUAAAUGAUAGGUCUC